RNAcentral lists this small RNA (766 nucleotides) under Pan troglodytes (chimpanzee). RNAcentral describes it as "processed transcript". Lineage: Eukaryota; Metazoa; Chordata; Mammalia; Primates; Hominidae. The record is from RNAcentral.
CUUCCUUCACCUUAUCAACAUGGUGGAGAGGAAUUGCCGGAGCUCUGAAAAUCCUAAUGAAGUGUUCCGCUUCUUGGUGGAGGAAAAGAUCAAGUGCCUGGCCACAGAGAAGGUGAAGUACACCCAGCGAGUUGACUACAUCAUGCAGCUGCCUGUGCCCAUGGAUGCAGCCCUUAACAAAGAGGAGCUUCUGGAGUACGAGGAGAAGAAGCGGCAAGCCGAAGAGGAGAAGAUGGCACUGCCAGAACUGGUUCGGGCCCAGGUGCCCUUCAGCUCUUGCCUGGAGGCCUACGGGGCCCCUGAGCAGGUCGAUGACUUCUGGAGCACGGCCCUGCAGGCCAAGUCAGUAGCUGUCAAGACCACACGAUUUGCCUCAUUCCCUGACUACCUGGUCAUCCAGAUCAAGAAGUUCACCUUCGGCUUAGACUGGGUGCCCAAGAAACUGGGUAGGCCUCCGGGAGCUGCUGAGGUGACCCUUUUCCCACAGAUGUGUCCAUCGAGAUGCCAGAGGAGCUCGACAUCUCCCAGUUGAGGGGCACAGGGCUGCAGCCCGGAGAGGAGGAGCUGCCAGACAUUGCCCCACCCCUGGUCACUCCGGAUGAGCCCAAAGGUAGCCUUGGUUUCUAUGGCAACGAAGACGAAGACUCCUUCUGCUCCCCUCACUUCUCCUCUCCGACAUCGCCCAUGCUGGAUGAAUCAGUCAUCAUCCAGCUGGUGGAGAUGGGCUUCCCUAUGGAUGCCUGCCGCAAAGCUGUCUACUACACGG